UACGUAGGGUCCAAGCGUUAAUCGGAAUUACUGGGCGUAAAGCGUGCGCAGGCGGUUGUGUAAGCCAGAUGUGAAGUCCCCGGGCUUAACCUGGGAAUGGCAUUUGGGACUGCACGGCUAGAGUACGGCAGAGGAGACUAGAAUUCCUGGUGUAGCAGUGAAAUGCGUAGAUAUCAGGAGGAAUACCGAUGGCGAAGGCAGGUCUCUGGGUCGAUACUGACGCUCAUGCACGAAAGCGCGGGGAGCAAACAGG
This 253-nucleotide ribosomal RNA is filed under the name uncultured bacterium. RNAcentral describes it as "partial 16S ribosomal RNA". It matches the Rfam family "Bacterial small subunit ribosomal RNA", at positions 524 to 776 of the family's 1533-position model. The record is from RNAcentral.